UACGAAGGUGGCAAGCGUUGUUCGGAUUUACUGGGCGUACAGGGAGCGUAGGCGGUUGGAUAAGCCCUCCGUGAAAUCUCCAGGCUUAACCUGGAAAGUGCAGAGGGGACUGUUCAGCUAGAGGAUGGGAGAGGAGCGCGGAAUUCCCGGUGUAGCGGUGAAAUGCGUAGAGAUCGGGAGGAAGGCCGGUGGCGAAGGCGGCGCUCUGGAACAUUUCUGACGCUGAAGCUCGAAAGCGUGGGGAGCAAACAGG
Molecule: ribosomal RNA, 253 nt
Filed under: uncultured bacterium
Lineage: Bacteria
Description: partial 16S ribosomal RNA
Rfam family: Bacterial small subunit ribosomal RNA
Source: RNAcentral